CCAAGAUAGGCUGGGGGUAGGAAGCCCAAUACAUUGCUACAUGUUCUUAGGGAUGUCCUGUGUUUAUUUUAUUUAUUUUUAUCUAUUUGUCUAUUUAUAGGUUGGGGUUUAGAAGAUGAAUAUCCAAAGACUAUACUUUCAGUGAUGAUUUCUAUAGUUGGAAUUUGUGUCUGGCAAACCUUGAGUUCUUUCUUGCUUCAGGAGGAAACAUACAUACGGAAGCUAUGAAAUAUGUUCCUGUUCUUGCAAGGCCCUGGAUCACCCCCAAGGCAUUUUGAUUAUGUAACACUAGAAGCAUAGUAGGUGGAGAGGUUUCAAUGGACGAGGGAAGACCCACUCCAACAGUAGACGACACCAUUUCAUGGGCUGCAGUUCUGGACUGAAUAAAAGCAGAACGUGAGCUGAGCACCAGUGGUUGUCACUCAGCUCCCUGACUGUGGGCACUGUGUGACCAGCUGCCUCACGCUUUCCACCAUGACUUACCUCCCAGAUUUGUGGGACUUAACCUCACUCACACUGUGAGCCAAAAUAAUCCCUUCCUUCCUUCAACUGUUUUUGUCAGACAUUUUAUGACAGCAAUGAGAAAAGUUAACUACUACACUGGUGGAAAUAGCAACACCUUUUGAGACUUUAUUACUUUUGCUUAUUUAUGAGUGGGGGUGCGGACAUGUGUAAGCAUGCACCUCCACAGGUCAGAAGAUGACUUUUGGGAGUGAGUUUUCUCCUUUCACAUGUGGGUCCCAGGGAAUGAACACAGGUCUUCAGGCUUGGCAGCAAGUGUGUUCACCCAUGGAUCCACCUUACUGGCUCCCUUCGGACAUUUAAAUUUGGCAUAAGAACACAAAGGAAUGAUCAUUUAAAGUACAAUAUGUGAUCAAAAAUGCCAGGUUUUGUUGUAGCUUGCCUGCACAGUCCAUACUAGGACUGAGGGCCCUGCCAGAGUUGCAGAAUUGAAGCAAAAGUGGUCCUGUAAGGAGCCAACAAAAGGCUAAAGAAAAAAAAAAUCACAGUGCUAGAGUACAAUAAAUGCUGUUAGGAAGUACUGUAGACUACAAGGACAGUAGAAGCUGCAGGUGCAGCUGGUGCUACAUUAGAGCCACAUGCCAGAGCUACUCAGACACUUGUUGCUUCUUUGUGUGGGUCCGUCCACAUCUAAGGCGUGGGGCAAGAAGGCACAGCAUACACUAUUUCUCAUGAACACGGAUGGGCACUGCUGAAGGAGAAAUCAUUCUGCACUUGGCUUUCAACUAAGGUCACUUGGAA
This 1263-nucleotide long non-coding RNA is filed under the name Cricetulus griseus (Chinese hamster). Its description in RNAcentral is "lncRNA (ENSCGRG00015035005.1)". The record is from RNAcentral. Lineage: Eukaryota; Metazoa; Chordata; Mammalia; Rodentia; Cricetidae.